ACAGUGGUAGUUCAGGGGUAGAAUUCUUACCUUUCAUGUGGGAGACUGGGGUUCAAUUCCCAGCCAAUGUG
Molecule: transfer RNA, 71 nt
Filed under: Loxodonta africana (African savanna elephant)
Lineage: Eukaryota; Metazoa; Chordata; Mammalia; Proboscidea; Elephantidae
Rfam family: tRNA
About the family: Transfer RNA (tRNA) molecules are approximately 80 nucleotides in length. Their secondary structure includes four short double-helical elements and three loops (D, anti-codon, and T loops).
Source: Rfam by way of RNAcentral